Molecule: small RNA, 627 nt
Filed under: Pan troglodytes (chimpanzee)
Lineage: Eukaryota; Metazoa; Chordata; Mammalia; Primates; Hominidae
Description: processed transcript
Source: RNAcentral
CUGCUGGUGACACUGCUAUUAGCAAAUACUUCGGGUUUAUUCCUGAAAACCUGAUGCAGAAAAUCAGAUUUUCUUCUAAGCUUGUAAUGAUGCUUUGCAAAGGUUUCCUUAAGGCUUGAAAUAGUAUUCACUAUUUUCCAUUUAGCUUUAAAGCAUACUGUAUUCAGAAGUUGAUAUCCACAAUCUUUCUUUUAGGAAAACAAAUUAGCAUACCAAGAAUAUGAAUUUUUAAUUGGGCAGAAUCUCUUUUAAAAAAAUAAAGUGACCUAACACUUUGUCUGUUUUCCUACCUCUCCUUUUGGUGCAGAGGCAGUGGUGUGACCAUUAAAAGUGACUUUUAUCCCAAUAGAAAGUAUAUUGGCCCGGCGCAGUGUCUCAUGCCUGUAUUCCCAGCCCUUUGGGAGGCCAAGACUGGCGGAUCACGAGUUUGGGGAUUCUCAGCAGUUGCGGCUGGUCCGUAUUCUGCGCAGCACCGUGAUGGUUCGCGUUGGUGGAGGAUGGAUGGCCUUGGAUGAAUUUUUAGUGAAAAAUGAUCCCUGCCGAGCACGAGGUAGAACUAACAUUGAACUUAGAGAGAAAUUCAUCCUACCAGAGGGAGCAUCCCAGGGAAUGACCCCCUUCCGCUCA